RNAcentral lists this unclassified non-coding RNA (3193 nucleotides) under Apis dorsata (giant honeybee). Its description in RNAcentral is "sodium/hydrogen exchanger 3, transcript variant X2". The record is from RNAcentral. Lineage: Eukaryota; Metazoa; Arthropoda; Insecta; Hymenoptera; Apidae.
AACGUGUCGCGAGCGAAAUAGUCGUGCGUUGAAGGGAGUUGAAGGGUGAGCUCGAGAGCAUAGGAGGGUCCCGACUCUCUGAACAGCGGGAGCCUUUCAAGGUGUAGGUUCCUAGUGGUUGGAGGUCUCUUCUGAUGGUACUGAGGGUGACUCAGCACCGGUGGACGAGCGCGAACGAGCAGCGCGGUCCCCGCGAUCAGCAUCACAGUCGCCGUGUCACGUCGUCAUGGCUACACGUGCUGUCACCUCGACGAUGAUCGCGUUUGUUCUCAUCCUACUCGUCGCUGGUUGGCCAACAGGCGGACGGACAGGCUUGGUCAAGUUCUACGAAUCUAUGCCCGAUCAUCUGCAACCGGACAGGCGAAUACCCAUCAACGAUUAUGCGAUGCACGGGCCCAUCAUCGACGACCACGACUUACCCAGGGAUCUCAGGAAGCCGUAUCCAGGCAAGAGCUUUGGACCAAUGGGCCCUAUCGAUGGCUCCCUCCCGGAUGACGUCUCUUUUCGAAGUCUGUCGUCUGGACAGGAGAAAGGGGCGAACUCGAUCGAACUUCUGUCGCCUCACGCUGUCGAAAAGAUCGAAAAACAUAAGCCGGAGUAUAAGAUCAUGUCUGUGGAGUUUCAUCGCGUCGAGACACCGUUUGUCAUUGGAAUAUGGAUCUUCUUUGCCAGCAUCGCGAAAAUAGGCUUCCACAUGACGCCGAAGCUCAGCAAGAUCUUUCCGGAAUCCUGUUUGCUGAUCGUUGUCGGCGUGGUGGUUGGUGUCCUACUGUUCCAGGCGAGCAGUGUCCACGUGUCGCCUCUCACUCCCGACACAUUCUUCCUCUACAUGCUGCCGCCUAUUAUCCUGGAUGCUGGAUACUUCAUGCCGAAUCGACUGUUCUUCGACCAUCUGGGAACUAUACUUCUGUUCGCCGUCGUUGGGACUAUAUUUAACACUUUGUCGAUAGGUGCUUCGUUGUGGGUGUUGGGUAAAAGUGGCCUUUUCGGAUUCGAAACACCACUUUUGCAAAUGUUCCUGUUCUCCGCGUUGAUCAGCGCAGUUGAUCCUGUCGCCGUGUUAGCUGUCUUCGAAGAAAUCCACGUGAAUGAAAUCUUGUAUAUCGUUGUUUUUGGGGAGAGCUUAUUGAACGACGCUGUCACCGUGGUGCUGUACCAUAUGUUCGAGGCUUACAACGAGAUAGGGCCGACGGAAAUACUCUACACGGACGUUCUCUCGGGAUUGGCUUCGUUCUUCGUGGUGGCGAUCGGUGGCACGAUAAUAGGGGUGAUAUGGGGCUUUGGUACCGGUUUUGUUACAAGGUUCACCCACCAGGUUCGCGUGAUCGAGCCCAUCUUCAUAUUCGUCAUGGCUUACCUGGCCUACCUAAACGCCGAGAUCUUUCAUAUGUCCAGCAUACUGGCGAUCACCUUCUGCGGCAUCACCAUGAAGAAUUACGUGGAGGCGAAUAUAUCGCACAAGUCGCACACCACGGUCAAAUACACGAUGAAAAUGCUGUCAAGCAGCUCGGAAACCAUCAUAUUUAUGUUCCUCGGGGUGGCGACCGUGAACAACCAUCACGACUGGAACACGUGGUUCGUCGUCAUGACCAUCGUCUUCUGCUCGAUCUAUCGCAUCGUCGGCGUGAUCUUCUUGACAGCGUUGGCUAAUCAAUUCCGACUGCACAAGCUGAACAAGGUGGAGAAAUUCGUGAUGUCUUACGGUGGUUUGCGAGGUGCCGUAGCAUUUGCUCUGGUCUUACUGAUCGAUCCGAAACACGUGUCUUUACAACCGAUGUUCGUCACUACCACGAUCGCAGUCAUUUAUUUCACAGUAUUCAUACAGGGAAUCACGAUCAAGCCCCUCGUAAAGAUCCUGAAUGUGAAACGAGCCGAAAAGAAGAAGCCGACCAUGAACGAGAGGAUCCACGAAAGGAUAAUAGACCACGUGAUGGCUGGGAUCGAGGACAUUUUGGGCAAGCAUGGCAAUUAUCACGUUCGGGAUAAAUUCAAACGGUUCGAUAAUAAAUUUAUUCGUCCGUAUCUGGUGAGGAAUCACUACGGUGCCGAGCCGAAAAUAUUGGAAACGUAUUCGAAACUCGCUAUGAAAGACGCUCUGGAUUACAUCAGAAGGAACGCGUCCACCAUCGGCAAUAUCAGUGGAACUGAAAGCAUGUCCGCUAUAUUUCGCAACUAUAGCAACACGGGACAAUUCAAUGGAAGUCCAAGUUGCAGCCAGCUCGAAGCGGGCUGGAAUAUUGAUCUCCAAGAAUUGGAGUACAACCCUUCCAAGAAGGACUUGACGGACGCCAGGAUCCACCAUCUAUUGGCCGAAGAACUUUGCAAGCCGUACAAGAGGCAUGGAACAAAACUGUUGCAGCAUCGGCGUUUAAGCUACAGCCGACACGCGGUGAACGAUCGCGACCUGUCAACCCAAGUCAAUUACAAAAUGCACAUGAACAUAAGACGGAUGAUGGGAGAGCACAAGCAUCGUCACAAGCGCAGUAAAAAAUUGCUCAAAGAUGGUAAGCAGAAUCACGUGAGUUUUCCUGAGUUCCAGCAAAACGGAUCAACCAAAUUGUUCACUCAAGAUUACAUCAAUGGUGUCCUGUACGAGCUGGAAAACGGAGAUACUUCAAAGCCUUCGAGCAAGGAGGACUGGGACUCUGCGAUUACCUUCACGGCUCGCACUUCCGAUUCGUUGAACGUGAAUACGGAUGGCCACCACGGCGUCACCACCACUACCUCAAUGGACACCAUAAAUACCGACGAUCCGGAUAUGAAAUUAGGGCGAGACGAAAGUUACAGGGUAACAACACCAACAGCCACAGAAACUAUGUUGCCAUGGAAAAGGGAGGACGAUUACGAUUCCGGCCAUCCGAUCAAACAAAAUGAAUUUCCUGCUUGGUGUUCUAACAAAGAGUAUCUGGCUUAUAGUUCUCCCUCGGCGACAUUUUUAGGAGAGCCGUAUUUCUGAAGACAGGCCAGCUUAACGAGCUCGGAGGAUACAAAUCUCGGACUUCCGGCCGAAGAACAUGUGGAAUCGAGCAGCCAAAGGUCCAGUCAGUAAUUGGUCUAUUCCGUCGCGAGAGCGUGUGCACUCCAGAUGGUAUCGAUUGCCAGGAAACUGUGGACGAGCGUGAUGAAUACACGUUAACGGGGACAGAACAGACCGAAGAUUCACCUACAAAAACGUUUAGUGAAUAUGAGAAAG